UUGAAUUAACUAGAGAAUUACUAGCCUAAUUUAGAGACUUUUUUCUUCUCAUGCAUCUUAAAGCUGAAGAAUCUUUUGAUACUGUCUAAUCUAGUUCCCCUGUUUUAUAGAGGAGAGUAAAUGAUUUACCAAAGGUUAAGAAGUUAACUAGUGCCAAGCUGGGUCUAGAAAUUGGGUCUAUAAUUUGACAGCCUUCUGACUACUGUAUCAAAGCAAAACCUUGGUAUUGGCAGAUAACGAAGCUGAGGAGGAGUGGAGUUGUUUGGAAGAAGAGGAUAAUUUCCCCUCCUUCUGAUCUGAACUUAUCAUGGACAAAAUGAUGAAAUCUAACCAUGUCACUCCCCUUAAAAAAAUACCACAGUAUCUGUUGGUGAUGGAAUACUAUUGUGCUCAAAGGAAUAAUAAAGUGGAGGAAUUCCAUGGGAACUGGAACAACCUCCAGGAAGUGAUGCAGAGUGAGAGGAGCAGAACCAGGGAAAUCAUUAUACACAGAGACUGAUACACUGUGGCACAAUCGAAUGUAAUGGACUUCUCCAUUAAUGGCAAUGCAGUGAACUUGAAGAACUUGGAGGAAUCUAUAAGAAAAAACACUAUCCACAUUCAGAGGAAAAACUGUGGGAGUAAAAACACCGAAGAAAAACCUCUGCUUGAUUACAUGGGUUGAGGGGGAUAUGAUUGGGGUUAUAGACCCUAAAGGAACAUCCUAGUGCAAACAUCACCAGCAUGGAAAUAGGUUCUGAUCAAGGACACAUGUAAUACCCAGUGGAAUUGCGUGUCGGCUAUGGGAAGGGUGGGGGGAGGGGAAGGAGGAAUAGAAUAUGGUCUUUGUAACCAAGGAAUAAUAUUUGAAAUUGACCAAAUUAAAAAAAAAUAAAAAAAAUAAAGAAAUGCCA
This 893-nucleotide long non-coding RNA is filed under the name Monodelphis domestica (gray short-tailed opossum). RNAcentral's name for it is "lncRNA (ENSMODG00000031063.2)". The record is from RNAcentral. Lineage: Eukaryota; Metazoa; Chordata; Mammalia; Didelphimorphia; Didelphidae.